This 495-nucleotide ribosomal RNA is filed under the name uncultured bacterium. Its description in RNAcentral is "partial 16S ribosomal RNA". It matches the Rfam family "Bacterial small subunit ribosomal RNA", at positions 28 to 507 of the family's 1533-position model. The record is from RNAcentral.
GAUGAACGCUGGCGGCGUGCCUAAUACAUGCAAGUAGAACGCUGAAGGAGGAGCUUACUCUUCUGGAUGAGUUGCGAACGGGUGAGUAACGCGUAGGUAACCUGCCUGGUAGCGGGGGAUAACUAUUGGAAACGAUAGCUAAUACCGCAUGACAACAGUUAUUGCAUGAUAACUGUUUAAAAGGGGCAACUGCUCCACUACCAGAUGGACCUGCGUUGUAUUAGCUAGUUGGUGAGGUAACGGCUCACCAAGGCGACGAUACAUAGCCGACCUGAGAGGGUGAUCGGCCACACUGGGACUGAGACACGGCCCAGACUCCUACGGGAGGCAGCAGUAGGGAAUCUUCGGCAAUGGACGGAAGUCUGACCGAGCAACGCCGCGUGAGUGAAGAAGGUUUUCGGAUCGUAAAGCUCUGUUGUAAGAGAAGAACGAGUGUGAGAGUGGAAAGUUCACACUGUGACGGUAUCUUACCAGAAAGGGACGGCUAACUACGUG